Molecule: ribosomal RNA, 557 nt
Filed under: uncultured bacterium
Lineage: Bacteria
Description: bacterial SSU rRNA
Rfam family: Bacterial small subunit ribosomal RNA
Source: RNAcentral
AAUAGAUACCCGGGUAGUCCACGCCGUAAACGAUGGAUGCUAGCUGUUAUGCGUAUCGACCCGUGUAGUAGCGAAGCUAACGCGUUAAGCAUCCCGCCUGGGGAGUACGAACGCAAGUUUAAAACUCAAAGGAAUUGACGGGGACCCGCACAAGCGGUGGAGCGUGUUCUUUAAUUCGAGGCUAAGCGAAGAACCUUACCAGGGCUUGACAUCCUUGGAAUUUCUCCGAAAGGAGAGAGUACUUUAUUGGACCAAGUGACAGGUGCUGCAUGGCCGUCGUCAGCUCGUGUCGUGAGAUGUUUGGUUAAGUCCAUUAACGAGCGCAACCCUUAUGAAUAGUUGUAUUUUUCUAUUCAGACUGCCCGGUAACGGGGAGGAAGGGGGGAUGAUGUCAGGUCAGUAUUGCCCUUACGCCCUGGGCUAGAAACGCGCUACAAUGGCCGGUACAAUACGCUGCCAACCCGCGAGGGGAGCAAAUCGCAUCAAAGCCGGUCCCAGUUCGGAUAAGAGGCUGAAACUCGCCUCUUUGAAGCCGGAAUCGCUAGUAAUCGUAGGUC